Molecule: long non-coding RNA, 2522 nt
Filed under: Marmota monax (woodchuck)
Lineage: Eukaryota; Metazoa; Chordata; Mammalia; Rodentia; Sciuridae
Source: RNAcentral
UAAUAUUUGCCUUCUUGAUUUUUGUCUCUUUUUUCUUGAUUUACUAUUUAUAAAUGCAUAAAGUGCUAAAACAUACAUAGUUACUAAUUUCUUGAUAACUCAAGCAUCAAUAACUUUGUAAGCUUUCAGAUACCACUAUUCUAACUAUGAUAAAAAUACAAAUUACUACUAGAAGUAGGCCAUACCUCAAUUUAUCAAAUUUCUGCUUAAAAUCCAAAUUAUUAAAAUCAAUAGCAAUCUAGAACAUUGAUACAUUGUGAAAGCAGAGGCUGGGGUAUAGCUCAUUGAAAGAGAGUUUGCCUAGCAUGUACAAGGUCCUGCAGUACCUCAAAAUCUGCAGUACCUCAAAAAAAAGAAGAAAAAAUUUAAAAAAAUAAUUUGUCAUAUUGCUAGUUGCUCCACAUCCUAGAAAAUGCUAACACCUCAUUUGGAGAAUUCCUGAGCCCAUAAUCCUCCUUGCUCAAGGUUAAACAGAAAAUUCACCAGUCUUCUUUGUAUCUGGUAAGCGGACAGGUGAGUCUACACAUAACAGACUCAUCUGUGAGGGUUUUUCAAAUUCUUAAGUUACUGACAAGGAAACUAAGCACCAGGCUUCAUCCCUAUGCUUGGUAAUGGGACAGCAGAAGAAAUCUGAACUGACCAGAGUCAGAAUCAGCCAAGCUCAUACCAAGUAGAUGUGUUCCUCUUGGAGUGGUGCUGGCUGCUGUCUCCUCCCAACAUGACUGCUGAGUAGUAGGAAAGCAGAGGUGGUCAUGCCUGUUUUCUGAAAGUUUAACCUUGAAACUCUUCUCUAGAAAGUUCAACAAUGCUAUGAGUCACUCAAAUAUUCUCUAGUAAAUUCCUUUUCUGUGUAAUAAAAUAAAACUGGGGUUUUUUCCUUAUUUCAAAUGACAACCUGAUUGAUACAAUAUUCUGUACCAUCCUUGAUCAUAUCAAUAAUAAUCAUUUAUGAAGGCAUAUUGUCAAUACAGGAACAAUAUUUAAUUCAAAAUAGAACUGAUUGACAAAUACUAGUGAAGUAACUGAGGUGUCAAAAGUUUUAAAGGUAAAAGGAUACCCAUGCAAGUUAGGAUUGACAUGACUCAAUAAAAGAUUCCCUCAUAAAAUUAUGAACUUAGACACAAAUAACACUAACAUACUUGAAUUUUUAGGUGAAUGAAAAAUCUAUGGGAUAACAGCCAUUGGGGACUGCUGCAGACUUACUAAACAUAAUUCGGAUGUGAAGUUAGUAUUCCUUGGAAUUCUUCAACCAUGAAUCAGAUUAUGUGUGAAGAAGUUUGAGUGUCCUCAGUUCUAAUGAAGAUUGCACAAAUUAUACAAUAAAAUACAAAGAUGUUGUAUUGUUCUUUACAGAGAGGGCUUAAAUUAUAAAAUCAGACACAUCUAAGAAAGCUAAACUGCAUUCAUUUUUUUCUCCCACAAAUAUUUAUUAAGUGACUGUUAUAAUACAAUGCAACAUCCUAGGAUUUGUCUUGACACUAUAAUUUUUGACUAAUCUUCUUUUAGUUUUUUUUUUUAAUUUUCUUUUUUCCACCCCCACCUGCUACAUACAAUGGAAGUAUGUUAAAGUCCUGUGACAUCCCAUUCUGUGUUCUCUGCAAUGUCCAUGGCAAUGAUGUAUUUGGUAGAGUAUGUUCCAAUCCGGUUCACUGAAGUCUAAAGUAUUCUUGUGUGCUCAGGAACUUUUCCAGUGUAGCUACAGUAUCCCACACAUCUGCUCAUAUGUCCUCUCUUCUUCUCUCCUGCUUGCCACACAUGACCCACCAGAAGAAAUAGAAACCACGAUCUCAAGUGAAAGCAGUGGUAGAACACCUAACUUUAUAAAUAGGAUCUCAUUGGCAGCCUAGACUCCUCUUUUCAAAAUACUCUACUUAACAGUCCAGCUAAACAUUAGAGGCAACUGUAAACAGAAAUGUAAUAUUAUAAAGGGAAUCCACAAGGUGGUCACCGGCCCCUUCCAAGGACGCUUCCUUCAUGACCCAGCUCCCUUCCACUGGUAUCAUCUCUUAGAACUUCCCUGCCUCAGCACGACCACACUGAGGAACAGGGCUCCAGCACCGGAACCUUGGAGAACACACUCAAAACAUGCAGAGCGUGGUGGGGGGGUACAUGAAAGUCUCAUUCUGAGUUUCCAUAAAUUCGCUAUCUUAUUACUAAAUCCUUGCUGCUCUUUAAAGGCAAAGAGAAGUACACAAUGAAGUAAAGGAAUUAGUACUUAUAAAAUGCAACUGUGUUAGAGUCUUACAAGGUUAUAAAGAUUACUUCACCAAACAUUGAGUUGUUUUUGUCAUUUUGGGAACCAUCAUUAUAAGUUAGGGUAUAAAGUUGAAACGCUAAAAAUUAGGAAAUAAAUUACUUAAAAUCUUAAACACACCCAUCACUCAGAAAUAACCACUGUUAAUAUCUGGAGUAUAACCUUCCAGAUUAGGAAUACCUAACAAUAUAUCUACCCAUUCAUUUAUUCCUUUGUACCUCCUCCAUGUAUCCAUCAUAAACCCAAUAUUUCCCUACAAUUGCCAAUU